Molecule: ribosomal RNA, 583 nt
Filed under: uncultured bacterium
Lineage: Bacteria
Description: bacterial SSU rRNA
Rfam family: Bacterial small subunit ribosomal RNA
Source: RNAcentral
ACGGGUGAGUAACACGUGGGUAACCUGCCUUGAUGAUUGGGACAACCCCGGGAAACCGGGGCUAAUACCAAAUGUGUUCACAUUCCAUAAGGAGUGUGAGGAAAGGAAGCUUCGGCCUCCGCAUCGAGAUGGGCCCGCGGCGCAUUAGCUUGUUGGUGGGGUAACGGCCUACCAAGGCGACGAUGCGUAGCUGGUCUGAGAGGACGAUCAGCCACACUGGGACUGAGACACGGCCCAGACUCCUACGGGAGGCAGCAGUGGGGAAUCUUGCACAAUGCACGAAAGUGUGAUGCAGCAACGCCGCGUGUGGGAAGACGGCCUUCGGGUUGUAAACCACUUUCAGUUGGGACGAAGCUUCGUCGGUUAAUAGCCGCGCGGAGUGACGGUACCUUCACAAGAAGCCCCGGCUAACUACGUGCCAGCAGCCGCGGUAAUACGUAGGGGGCAAGCGUUGUCCGGAAUCAUUGGGCGUAAAGCGCGUGUAGGCGGCUCGGUAAGUCUGCUGUUAAAGUCCAGGGCUCAACCCUGGGAUGCCGGUGGAUACUGUCGAGCUCGAGUCCGGAAGAGGAGUGUGGAAUUCCUG